AUAGCGAACCCUAUGAUAGUUUUCCAUAGAUUCACCUGCAAGUUACCUGUCGAUUUAAACUUUUGGCAGUUCUAUUGUCCCAUCUAACAAAUACAACAGGUAUUGUUCUCUGUGUAGUUUAUUCACUGGGACCUUUAAAUUUCUUCUAGGAGAAAUAUAUCACUCAUUGAUUAAUUUACCUGAACAAAAAAUUGAACUGUCAAUGAUGAAAAAAUACUUAUACCAAUACUAAGAAAGGACUCACAAAACUGCAUGUGGUGUUGUAUUUAUUCAAAACCAAAAACUUGUUUUUAAUGUGUUCAAUAUUAAU
Molecule: long non-coding RNA, 310 nt
Filed under: Mytilus galloprovincialis (Mediterranean mussel)
Lineage: Eukaryota; Metazoa; Mollusca; Bivalvia; Mytilida; Mytilidae
Source: RNAcentral